This 5192-nucleotide long non-coding RNA is filed under the name Citrus sinensis (sweet orange). Its description in RNAcentral is "long non-coding RNA (CSIN_LNC000523)". Lineage: Eukaryota; Viridiplantae; Streptophyta; Magnoliopsida; Sapindales; Rutaceae. The record is from RNAcentral.
AUAGUCUCCUGCAAUAAAAUGUAGAUUAUCCUCCGAUGAAUAUGCUGAUAACGGACAAAAACUGAACGUAAAGAAACCCCAUAAAUGCCUUACAAGGUUUCCAAGUUAACGAAAUUCCCAAGCUCUUGAGGUAUUGUUCCUGAAAAUUGGUUUUCUUCAAGGUCCCUGGUAAACAGAUCCAUUGAGAUUUCUAAUAAUCGCAGAACAUAUUGGUAUAAAAACUUAAAGGACUCUUACCUGCAAAUUUGCACAUACACAUGAACAAAGAAAAUAUUCUGAGGAAUAAUUAAGCAUAAGACUUCUAGUUUAUCUCCUUGAAGAAACAAGAAUUUUGUUCUCUCAGUCAAAGAAAUAAAAAAUAAUUGGAAAAUUCAUGAAAUUUAAAAUAAUGAAAAACUAUAAUCAGUUCAUUUCUGCAAGUCCAUCAACUGGAUAUUGUAGUCAUGAUGAGUUUUCGAAGCUUACAAGUAUGUGAGACUAGUAAUGUUCCCCAAAUGGCUUGGAAUAUUGCCUGACAAUCGGUUUGCAAAAACAGAUCUGCAUGGACAAUUCCAAUAUGGUUAAUUCAGUGAGACAAACAAAAUUUUAUUUGCUCGACUGAUAGAAAGAUGCAGAUAUAGCUUACAUAUACUUCAGUUGCAUCGAGGCCCAUUCACGUGGUAUCGAACCAUGCAGAUAGUUGUAAGCAAAAUCACUGCAUUCCACAACAAUAUCAAUCAAAUUUACAAAUUGGUCUGUAAAAGAAAGAAGGAAACGAAGAUAUUCAUAAUGCAGUAGACUAAUAGGGGUGCAUUUAGUUACAUUUUUGGCAUGGGUCUAUUUUUUGGUUCUGUUCAAAUGAAAGAGAAGUACAGUUUUAAAAAGUUGCCUGAUUUUUAGUGUUUACGCUUUGUAAAAGAACCAUAGACCAGCUAAAAAAACAUUUUCAAUCGAUAAAUUUCCUCCAGCCACAAGGUUUUGUUAUGAUUGUUUUAGUUUCAGUUCUCUCUUCCUGAAGCAGUUACUCAUCUAUUUGAAAGAUUCCAAACCUUCUUGUCUUCCGCUCUUGGUUCUAAAAUAGUGUCUCCAACAGAAGAUACCCAACACCAAGAUAAUGAGACAUGAUCCUAUAAUAACGCCAGCAACAAUUGGUGCAAUCGUCUUUUUUCCUGCCCCAUAGAGGGGUUUGAAGUCUGCCAGAAAGCAUAAGCCAAGAAAUUAUGAUAAUCAGAAACAACAAACAUAGGAAGAAAGAAUGACUGUGAGUAUUCAAGACUAUAUCGAUUAGUUGGAUGUUUGCUUUAAAUUUUCAAAUGGUUUUCUACCAUAGGUGCUGUGGCUUACAGUUCUUAGAUUUCACACUACUGGAGCACUUGAACUUUUAUUCUCAAAAUGAUUGUACAACAUGUCACAUUGUUAGCCCGACAUGGGACAUGGAAGAAGUGGAAAAGAAAAUCACUCACUGGGAUCCACAGAAAUAGCUGAUAUAAGAGGCCCAUAAACUCCACCACUAGGAAUUGCAGUAGUGCCUUUGCCAGCCCAUUGGAAGCGAAUCUCUAAAAUGUGAUUGGAAACAUUGGCAGUGAAUGGUCUCGUGACUGGCUUAAGAACUCCAUGAGCUUCAGCUUCAAUGUUAAAAUCCUUCUCAACUAAUUUGUCCUGCAACAUAGCAAACCAACAAAAUUUGUAUUUGUUAUCCUGAAAGAAACAAACUCCAUAUGACCAAGUGACCAAGAAAAUGGGCUCUCAAGAAUAGCUUUAAACAUAUCACACAACUAGAGACAUCUCACAAGAUGGUACAUUUUGAAUGGAACACAUCUGGCACAAAAUUAUAAUAUACAAGCCCACAACCCAUCAUCUGAUUCUCAGGCAUCACAGCCUGAGUUGACUCUGAUGAAAAUAUAUUUCUUGAUUGUCAUAAAGUACCUGGAUAUAAAUAUCAAAUAUGCGCCUGCCAAGGGUUUUAUAUGUUUUGUCAUUUGUGAAUUGGAUCUCCGCAAAGUGUAGAGCCACUGAAUAAUUCCCAUUUUCUAAACAAUAUCCAAUAUAAGUAAGCGAAAGAGGAGAAAUACGUGCAUCAAUGUACAAUUCAGAAAUCCCUGAUGACUGUGAAUUUGCAAUAUAAUUAGUAUUUUGCUCAUCAUCAUCAUCUGUGAAAUCUCCUGUGCUACUGAUUCCCCAGUUAGUACCAUCCAGUAAAUGGUAUGUUGCAGCACCACCACCAACUCCUGCAUCUCCUUCGAAUGUGCUGUCAUUUACUUUUACAUUACCUCCACCACAAUUAAUGUGCAAAGAGUGCCAAUCUGUGAAGAGAAAACAAUGUGAAAUACUAAAGCAGCAAAGACCUUUUCACAUACUGUUAAUCCAUUUGAAAACAUUAAAAGGAAAGCAAGCUCAUAUGGUCAGUUUUUUUAUUUAUUAUUUAUUUUGUUGGGGGUUGGGGAACUUGUGAGUGAUCAGCAAACGUAAUUGUAUUAUCAUCAAUUCUAGGGAUCAACUAGAUUACUUCACCUUGCCUUUAAGUACUUCAGAUAAAGCACUUACGUACAUGAUAACAAGACUUGUGAUUGAAUUCGUAAAGAACAUGACAAAGAAUUGUGAUUCCAGGAGUCAAUAAAUGUGAAGAGAAUAUAGAAGAGAUUCUAAUACGAAGAGAAUUCUAACAACAUCAAAUCUGAAAUGAUACUUACAUCGAUGACAUGUGAAAUUGUUUGUACAUGGAAAAACUCCACGUCUGGUUUUAGUCAAGAAAAAAUGUAAACAAAACAGAUUAGCUCCAUAUCGUUGCCAAGUGAGGUCAACAACAGUAGAGUAACAAAUGGCUGUCGUGAGAAGAUUUCUUGCUUUCAUUGAAAAGCAAAUGGCACCAUCAAAACAGAAAUGAAGAUUUAAUGAUAGAAUGACCAGCUAUAUGCGCAAAAUACUUCAUGUAGAGGUAAUUACCUUCGUAACUUUUUUUGUUUUUAAAGGAAUUACCACUGUAACUUAAGCUGGUAUAAUAGGAAAGAAAAAGGGAACUUACAAGUUAUUUUCCACUGAAGAACUCCGGAACAAGUUCAGAUUUAGAUUCCUAGUGAAAAAUGAUACAUCUAUCAGGACUUAGAUCCAUCACAGGAUAUACAUAGAAGUAAACAGAAUCAGAUAAUUAUUCACUUAAGAGAAAUAUACUGACGGUUUCUCACGGCAAGCAGGCUGCUCAGGACUCUGCCAAGUGAAAUUAUUGUAAGAAAGGUCCCUGCAUGCAAGAAAGAAACAACGAUCUUUUCAUUGUAGAUGGAAAUUUAAUUUAAAAUGAUGAAGCAAUUGAAAGAUACAAGAGAAUGUCUUUGUGUUUGACACAACCCCCUCACUGCUAUCCUCAUCAAAUGAAAAAGCUAAACCUCAAAAUUGUUUUGUUUCUAAUAUGUGCUAGUUGUGAUAUGUGAUGUGCUCCACAAAGCCUAACAUAAUGGCUUGUUCAUAUGCCUCCAGCAAACUCAUUUUCAACAAUAGUAAAUUAACAGAUUAACAAAUUUAUAGAGCUUAACGAUGGAUAACAAAUGCACGUUACAAGGAUUGAUGCUCAUAAACUCCUCUGAUAAACAUAAGAAUCUAAAAUCCAAGAGAUAAGGUACACACACAUUAGUUCCUUUCUUCAGGAUUGACUCCGGUACAUUCCCUUGGAUAGAAUUGCCGGUAAGAAAGCUGAUAAAGGCCAGAUCAAGCAGUUAGUAUCUGGACAUUUGAAAAUUAGAAUAGUAAAAUUAAAACUUUUGUUUCAGUAACUUGCGUGAAUUUCAAAUCGGCUGGGAGUGCAACAUCGGGAAGUUCCCCAGUUAGAUGAUUAAAGCUGAGAUCCCUAUAAAAGCCAAAAAAAGAAAAAAAAGAAAGAAAGAGAGAGAACAAAAAUUUAUACGUGUGCUAAUUAGAGACCCUAACUACAUAUGAUGAUCUGCACAAUAGAACAUAGGUAAUCGAUAAGUAAGUAAGUAACAUACUUACAGAAACCGAAGAUUUUUUAUUCCCCAUAUAUAUUCAGGUAUCUCUCCAGAUAUAUUACAGUUCCUCAAAAUUCUGGAAAUCCAUCAACAAUCAAAUCAGAUGAAGCAAUUUUGAGGUGAAUAAACUCCAUUAAUGUGAUAAAAAUGAAGAGUCAUACAUCCGUGUAAGGCCUGUCAUGUUUCUAAGCAUCGGAAAAGUCUGAUUCGGUCCUUGCAAGUCACUAAUCCUCCUGUUCAUAUAAGUAUCGUCAUUAACAGAUCUUUUCAGCAAUAUUCAAUAUGCUAAACUAUUAUGACAAUGAAAGUAUUAAAUCAUUUGAAUUAUUGUAAAAGAAUACUUAUUAAAUUUUCACUGACAAUUGAUUUAGCUUAUCCAAAGCAGAGAUUGAUGGCGGAAUGGGUCCUUCAAGUCCACUACCUUGAAUUUCUCUGCAUUAAGUUAAGUAAAGCAAUCAAUAAUAUUUCAAGGGCCUGACAGUAACUUGAACAAUUUUGGCAUGUCGAAGAGCCUACAGUCUGUUAAGUUGUGUCCAGCUUUGUAUAAAAUCUGGCACACUCCCAUUGAAGUUGUUGUCAUUAAUCCUACUGCAUUGUCCAACAAGAACAAGAAUGAAUUAUGGCUUACACUUUCUGCCAAAUUUCAGAAUAUCCUCAGAAUAAACUUUUGAAAAGCUUACAAGUCUGUUAAAUUUUUCAGCUUCACAAGUUCCAUUGGUAAAUUUCCAAUCAAUCUAUUGGAUGAUAGUCUCCUGCAAUAAAAUGUAGAUUAUCCUCCGAUGAAUAUGCUGAUAACGGACAAAAACUGAACGUAAAGAAACCCCAUAAAUGCCUUACAAGGUUUCCAAGUUAACUAAAUUCCCAAGCUCUUGAGGUAUUGUUCCUGAAAAUUGGUUUUCUUCAAGGUCCCUGGUAAACAGAUCCAUUGAGAUUUCUAAUAAUCGUAGAACAUAUUGGUAUAAAAACUUAAAGGACUCUUACCUGCAAAUUUGUACAUACACAUGCACAAAGAAAAUAUUCUGAGGAAUAAUUAAGCAUAAGACUUCUAGUUUAUCUCCUUGAAGAAACAAGAAUUUUGUUCUCUCAGUCAAAGAAAUAAAAAAUAAUUGGAAAAUUCAUGAAAUUUAAAAUAAUGAAAAACUAUAAUCAGUUCAUUUCUGCAAGUCCAUCAACUGGAUAUUGUAGUCAUGAUGAGUUUUCGAAGCUUACAAGUAUGUGAGACUAGUAAUGUUCCCC